This 254-nucleotide ribosomal RNA is filed under the name uncultured bacterium. RNAcentral's name for it is "partial 16S ribosomal RNA". It matches the Rfam family "Bacterial small subunit ribosomal RNA", at positions 524 to 777 of the family's 1533-position model. The record is from RNAcentral.
GACGAAGGGGGCUAGCGUUGUCCGGAAUCACUGGGCGUAAAGGGCGCGUAGGUGGCGACCCAAGUCGAUGGUGAAAGCUCGCCGCUCAACGGCGAGUCGGCCACCGAUACUGGGUUGCUGGAGCACUGUAGAGGCAGAUGGAAUUCCGGGUGUAGCGGUGGAAUGCGUAGAGAUCCGGAAGAACACCGGUGGCGAAGGCGGUCUGCUGGGCAGUUGCUGACACUGAGGCACGAAAGCGUGGGGAGCAAACAGGG